GACGAACGCUGGCGGCGUGCUUAACACAUGCAAGUCAAGGGGGCCCAGCAAUGGGCAACCGGCGAACGGGUGCGUAACACGUGAGCAACCUACCGAACUGUGGGGGAUAGCCGGCCUAACGGCCGAGUAAUACCGCAUACGCUUUCAGUGAGGCAUUUCAUUGAAAGGAAACCUACGGGACAGAUCGAGGGGCUCGCGGCCUAUCAGCUAGUUGGCGAGGUAACGGCUCACCAAGGCAACGACGGGUAGCUGGUCUGAGAGGAUGAUCAGUCACACGGGCACUGAGACACGGGCCCGACUCCUACGGGAGGCAGCAGUAAGGAAUAUUGGUCAAUGGACGCAAGUCUGAACCAGCCAUGCCGCGUGAAGGAUGAAGGCCCUCUGGGUUGUAAACUUCUUUUAUCUGGGAAGAAAUGCUUUGUUUUCUUAACGUAGUUUGACGGUACCAGAGGAAUAAGCACCGGCUAACUCCGUG
Molecule: ribosomal RNA, 475 nt
Filed under: uncultured bacterium
Lineage: Bacteria
Description: bacterial SSU rRNA
Rfam family: Bacterial small subunit ribosomal RNA
Source: RNAcentral